GUAACUGUAGCCUCCUGAGAUUCAUGCCUUCUUCUUGUAUGUAUAUAUGCAUGCAGAAAAAGUAUCCAUAUGCAUAAAUUAUAUAAAUAAGUAAAUAUUAAAAACCAUAAAGUAUACAUGUAAACCUAUAACACACAUCACACAGCAAGGUCAGAUGCUUUCCCUGGCAACGUAGGAUCCAAGUAAGUUAGCAACCAGGUCCAUUUCUCUUUGUGCUUGUGGCUGUCACCAAGACUUUGAAAGCACAAAACAAGUUAAAAUGGUAAUGUUUUUGAAAGUGAAGCAAAACUCGUGACAGAGGGAGCCUGGGGUGAAGUACACUUGGGAGGCCAAGGCAGGAGGAUUUCCAGUGUGACGCCAACUUGAGCUACACAGAGAAUUCUGAGCAAUCAGAGCUAUAUAGCAAGACUUUAGCCUCAGGAAACAUACAAAAUGUUAAAUAAAUAUAAAACAUUUACACAGAGAAAAUAAAUAACAGUCUAUGGGUAAGUUAGGAGACAUUUGACACACAUAAAUAUAACAGACUGGUAGAAAAAAAAUCUUCAGUAGCAUUAACAACAAAAAUUCAAGGAAUACCAAAGCUGCACAGAGAAACCCUGUACCAAAACAACAACAAAAGAAAAAAAUCAAAGAAUAAGUACAGUGGAAAUGUAAGAGCCGGGUAAAUAUGACAAAAUGAAAAAAGUUACAAAUCACUAAAAGAUUUUAAACCUAAACGAGUCAGUGUUGUAAUAUAGUUUUCUUCAACAAGUCCAAAUUUAACACAAUUUUAAAUUUUCAACAGAUUUCUGUGUAACUUAAAACGCUAUUUCCAAAAAUGUACAUGGAAAUCUGAAGGGCCAGUGAUACUCGAGAUAACCUCGUGAGGACAGACAACAGAGUGAUGGAGCUUGAUUUAAUCAUUAGUGUGUAGCUCAUGGGUAGAGGUUGCUGACCACAUUCAAGGCCCUGUAUUCAACCCCCAGCACCUGCCUUCUAGUUAUACAGGGUUAGAUCAAAUCAUCAAUGCAAGACAGCACAGAGAUAAAGCAGUCUACACAGGUGUUUGAAAUCGGCAUGUCACAUGAGAUGUUGCAAGUCACUGAGGAAAGAGUAAAAACACUGCAUACUGAAACACCUGUUUACGUAAUACACAAUGCAUGUAUGCAAAAAUAAUAUGCAUACAUAUAGCUAUUGUGUAUAGAAUGUAUAUUUGUGCAUAUACUACUACUACUACUACUACUACUACUACACACACACACACACACACACACACACACACACACCAUACAUUAAAGUCAAUGAUUAUGGGGAUCAGGGAAGUUAAAAUGUUCAGGAGUUAAACAGUGAUAAUAGCUACAAAAAUCUAUGACUAUACUAAGAAAAACACUGUAUCAUUUUAAAGUGUGAAUUUUACACUGUGAAAUAAAUGUAAGAACAUUUAAAAUUCAGCAACCACUUCGUAGUUGCUUAGGAUGUACAGAGCCUGGGCUUGGGCUACAGUAUUGGAAACCUGUCUGUCUGUCUGUCUCUCUGUGUGUGUGUGUAUGUGUGUGUGUGUGUAUGUGUGUGUCUGUCUAUCAUCUACCUAUCGACAUAUCGAAUCUACUUAACUAUUUAUCCAUCUGUCAUUCAUAAAUAAUAUCUAUGCCAAAUGCAUCUAAAAUGUCCAUGUCAAGGGCAAUAUCUUAGAAAACCACAAGAGGGCAGUUUGACCUUGAGUUUGGGCCCUACACAGGCCCUGACUGGAGUGAUGUUUCCUGAUGCUGAGAGAGCCUGGUGGUUGGUAGCAGUAUCAGAAAGAUGACUGUUCCACCAGCUCCCUGGGUCCCGUCGCCGCUUCAGCCCCAAAUAACACACGGACACCGUAUUAAUUAUGAAACUGUUGGCCAAUGUCUAGGGCUUCUUACUGGCUAGCUCUGACUUAAUUUCUAACCCAUUUCUAUCAAUCUAAGUAUUUCCACGUGUUCUUCUCUUACCGGAGAAAUGUCUGGAGACAUGUUACUCCUCUCUGCCUACCUUUCCCAGAAUCCUCCUCAUCUCCUAGACCUGCCUAUCGUGCUGCCUUGUUGGCCACAGAGUUUUAUUCAUCAACUGACACACAUUCUCAGAAAAGAAAAAAUACUUAUGUUGCUGAGAAACCCAUUUGAUGAACCAGUAAAAAUCUGUGCAAUCUGGACUCAUGACCACACGUCUUUGGAAUUCUGUGGACCAAUCAAGAAGCAUGCAUCCAUAAAACAAUAAAACACCUCUGCUGCCUGUCAAGAGUGAUGGGUCCCUUCACAUAGCAGUGCGCAUUAACGACUGACACGGGCUGCUGCUGGUACCGGAUGGACGGACCAUGUCAACCUACAGGAGGAGAGCAGCCUUCACCAUCAGAAUCCAUCAGACCGUCACAGGAUGAACUAAAGUCACAGAUUCCUCUCUGUGGCACUGGGGAUGAAGCCAGUGUGGGUGCCAGACAAGCACUCUGCCUCUGGGCUGUCUUUUAAUUUUGACAGGGACUCACUGCAUGAUCAUCUGAGCUUGAACUCAUCCUGUAGUCCAGCUGAUGCACGGGGGUCCAGGAAGGCUUCCAGGCCUAGGAUGGAAGUUCACUGUCAGCUUUUUUCCAUAAAGCAAAGGGAGAAUGGCCAAGGAGUGCAUGCUACCUAGAAUGUGGGCUACUCAGAAUGCUGGACUUACGUGUUUACCAGUGAGGGUCAGCACUUGGAUCAACAGCGUAGAGACCGGCCUCUCAGGUCUGCUGGAUUACCAUGGCCCACUGACUUCCUCAGCUCUGUUUGCUCCGUCUAUCUGCUUGUUGGCUCUUCGACUCUGUGCUGCCUCAUCUGCCGCAGGGAGAGAAGGGAGCCCUACCCCCAUGGUGGAAAACAGGGCGAAAUGGCGUUUCCCAAAGAUUUCACAUCAGCCACGGAUGAGAUUAGAAGAAGCCAACUCUGAGUCUGAAGAGAAAGACAUGCUGGAGAGUGAAAGCUGGAGCACCCGGGCAUAAAGCCUCCCCAGUGACAAAAGUUGAGAGAUGUCACGUGCCACACACCUUCAUCCUAG
This 3030-nucleotide long non-coding RNA is filed under the name Cricetulus griseus (Chinese hamster). RNAcentral's name for it is "lncRNA (ENSCGRG00015029592.1)". Lineage: Eukaryota; Metazoa; Chordata; Mammalia; Rodentia; Cricetidae. The record is from RNAcentral.